Long non-coding RNA from Microtus ochrogaster (prairie vole), 503 nucleotides. RefSeq lists it as uncharacterized. The transcript is spliced from 6 exons. Lineage: Eukaryota; Metazoa; Chordata; Mammalia; Rodentia; Cricetidae. The record is from RefSeq and is a predicted model, not a curated record.
CUGCCUGGAUGAUCAUGGACUAACCCUCUGAAACUUUUGUAUAGGUCUUCAGUUCUUGAAUGCCUGGGAGAAAUGCAGGAUGAAGUAGCGCAUGCUCUUAGCUGUUGGGGCGAUUAAGAUACUGCUGUGUACUGGCUCCCUGUCUGUGGCUUCCUCUCUCAUGGUUCCUCAGCUCACAGCUCAUGGAACUCUGAAUUACCAAGGGUAGAGAGUCCACAAGUUUCUUCACUGAGAUUACUUGAUUUAUACCUCAGCUCACUCUGGAGAUUAUUAAUCAAUAGUACUCGACUGUCUCCUAACUGAAAGUUUGAGGUCCUGCCUUGGCGUCCCUCAAGGGAUGGUGACUCAGGAGAUAAAGACCUCCACAAGACCACCUGAGAACAAUGUACAACGAUACCUUCCAGAAGCCAGGCAAUUAGGAUACCAACGCCAGGUCGAAGGCUGGAGGGACGAAGGAACUAAAUGUGAAGAGUGUUUGGCUGUGGGUCUCUGCAUUUGCUCCC